This 1889-nucleotide ribosomal RNA is filed under the name Salmonella enterica. Its description in RNAcentral is "partial 23S ribosomal RNA". It matches the Rfam family "Bacterial large subunit ribosomal RNA", at positions 931 to 2802 of the family's 2925-position model. RNAcentral also lists the same sequence under 2 other names. The record is from RNAcentral. Lineage: Bacteria; Pseudomonadati; Pseudomonadota; Gammaproteobacteria; Enterobacterales; Enterobacteriaceae.
CCGGCUUACCAACCCGAUGCAAACUGCGAAUACCGGAGAAUGUUAUCACGGGAGACACACGGCGGGUGCUAACGUCCGUCGUGAAGAGGGAAACAACCCAGACCGCCAGCUAAGGUCCCAAAGUCAUGGUUAAGUGGGAAACGAUGUGGGAAGGCCCAGACAGCCAGGAUGUUGGCUUAGAAGCAGCCAUCAUUUAAAGAAAGCGUAAUAGCUCACUGGUCGAGUCGGCCUGCGCGGAAGAUGUAACGGGGCUAAACCAUGCACCGAAGCUGCGGCAGCGACACUGUGUGUUGUUGGGUAGGGGAGCGUUCUGUAAGCCUGUGAAGGUGUGUCGUGAGGCAUGCUGGAGGUAUCAGAAGUGCGAAUGCUGACAUAAGUAACGAUAAAGCGGGUGAAAAGCCCGCUCGCCGGAAGACCAAGGGUUCCUGUCCAACGUUAAUCGGGGCAGGGUGAGUCGACCCCUAAGGCGAGGCCGAAAGGCGUAGUCGAUGGGAAACGGGUUAAUAUUCCCGUACUUGGUGUUACUGCGAAGGGGGGACGGAGAAGGCUAUGUUGGCCGGGCGACGGUUGUCCCGGUUUAAGCGUGUAGGUGUGUGUUCCAGGUAAAUCCGGUUCACUUUAACACUGAGGCGUGACGACGAGGCACUACGGUGCUGAAGCAACAAAUGCCCUGCUUCCAGGAAAAGCCUCUAAGCAUCAGGUAACAUCAAAUCGUACCCCAAACCGACACAGGUGGUCAGGUAGAGAAUACCAAGGCGCUUGAGAGAACUCGGGUGAAGGAACUAGGCAAAAUGGUGCCGUAACUUCGGGAGAAGGCACGCUGACACGUAGGUGAAGUGAUUUACUCAUGGAGCUGAAGUCAGUCGAAGAUACCAGCUGGCUGCAACUGUUUAUUAAAAACACAGCACUGUGCAAACACGAAAGUGGACGUAUACGGUGUGACGCCUGCCCGGUGCCGGAAGGUUAAUUGAUGGGGUCAGCGCAAGCGAAGCUCCUGAUCGAAGCCCCGGUAAACGGCGGCCGUAACUAUAACGGUCCUAAGGUAGCGAAAUUCCUUGUCGGGUAAGUUCCGACCUGCACGAAUGGCGUAAUGAUGGCCAGGCUGUCUCCACCCGAGACUCAGUGAAAUUGAACUCGCUGUGAAGAUGCAGUGUACCCGCGGCAAGACGGAAAGACCCCGUGAACCUUUACUAUAGCUUGACACUGAACAUUGAGCCUUGAUGUGUAGGAUAGGUGGGAGGCUUUGAAGUGUGGACGCCAGUCUGCAUGGAGCCGACCUUGAAAUACCACCCUUUAAUGUUUGAUGUUCUAACGUGGACCCGUUACCCGGGUUGCGGACAGUGUCUGGUGGGUAGUUUGACUGGGGCGGUCUCCUCCUAAAGAGUAACGGAGGAGCACGAAGGUUGGCUAAUCCUGGUCGGACAUCAGGAGGUUAGUGCAAUGGCAUAAGCCAGCUUGACUGCGAGCGUGACGGCGCGAGCAGGUGCGAAAGCAGGUCAUAGUGAUCCGGUGGUUCUGAAUGGAAGGGCCAUCGCUCAACGGAUAAAAGGUACUCCGGGGAUAACAGGCUGAUACCGCCCAAGAGUUCAUAUCGACGGCGGUGUUUGGCACCUCGAUGUCGGCUCAUCACAUCCUGGGGCUGAAGUAGGUCCCAAGGGUAUGGCUGUUCGCCAUUUAAAGUGGUACGCGAGCUGGGUUUAGAACGUCGUGAGACAGUUCGGUCCCUAUCUGCCGUGGGCGCUGGAGAACUGAGGGGGGCUGCUCCUAGUACGAGAGGACCGGAGUGGACGCAUCACUGGUGUUCGGGUUGUCAUGCCAAUGGCACUGCCCGGUAGCUAAAUGCGGAAGAGAUAAGUGCUGAAAGCAUCUAAGCACGAAACUUGCCCCGA